RNAcentral lists this ribosomal RNA (253 nucleotides) under uncultured bacterium. Its description in RNAcentral is "partial 16S ribosomal RNA". It matches the Rfam family "Bacterial small subunit ribosomal RNA", at positions 524 to 776 of the family's 1533-position model. The record is from RNAcentral.
UACGGAGGGUGCAAGCGUUAUCCGGAUUCACUGGGUUUAAAGGGUGCGUAGGCGGACAGGUAAGUCAGUGGUGAAAUCUCUGGGCUUAACUCAGAAGCUGCCGUUGAUACUAUUUGUCUUGAAUGUCAUGGAGGUAAGCGGAAUAUGUCAUGUAGCGGUGAAAUGCUUAGAUAUGACAUAGAACACCAAUUGCGAAGGCAGCUCGCUACACAUAUAUUGACUCUGAGGCACGAAAGCGUGGGGAUCAAACAGG